Molecule: long non-coding RNA, 195 nt
Organism: Etheostoma cragini (Arkansas darter)
Lineage: Eukaryota; Metazoa; Chordata; Actinopteri; Perciformes; Percidae
Exons: 3
Source: RefSeq, a predicted model, not a curated record
AAAGGUACAAAAGGGCGCCCAGAUAGCUCCGUUGGUAGAACAGGCGCCCAUAUGUAAAGGUUUACUCCCGAUGCAUUGGGCCCGGGUUUGAGUCUGGCCCUGCAGCCCUUUUCUGCAAGUCAUUCCCCCUCUCUCUCUCUCCUUUCAUUUCUUCAGCUGUCAAUAAAGGUCUAAAAAGGCCCCCCAAAAAAUCUU